GGGCGCAGGCGGCCGUUGAGAAGCGCCCUGGCGGGACUCCUGCCAAACUCUGCCCCUAGGUCUUAGCCCACCUUGACGGCGCGGGAUGGGAGACUCGCUCUUGGUUCAGCCCGCGGCCCCCGCUGGCGCUCGGCUCGCCCUUCACCUUCAAGUCCCGGGGGGAGAACCCAGCCGGGUCAUCACCUCUGGGGCUAGCUCCGGUCGUCACUGGAGUAUCCUGCGUCUAGGGCGCUCUGCUCAUGGCUCUCCGGCCCUCCCUGGAGUCCCGCUUCCCUCCGCGGGACACACUUCUCCCCGACCCUGGUGUCUCGGCACAGAAACUGCCUCCCACGUGUCAGUUCAGUCCCGGUGUGGCAGCAAAGCACAGCGGACGCCCCAGGUCCGCCGAGCCUUUUCUGCAACGACGUGGCCCGUGGAGACGCCGCGCUUCACCGCCGCGCUCCACCUGAGCAGCUGAGAACUCGGGCAGGUUGCCUCUCUGCACUGUCUGCUCAAGGGACGGGCGCCGACGAUGAAAGAGUUUGAUUUUCUCCUCUACAGAAAAUAACCCGCCGAGACUCAAAUCCCCUCCCCUUCUCGGAGGAACGCCAUUCCCGGAUGUCACAUCGCGACCUUGUGGAGAGUCGGCGCGGCAGGCCGGCAGGCCGGCAGGCUCCCCGGACGGUUGCUCUGGGGAAACCCUAGUCUAAACUUCCAGGAGCAUUUGUUUUCCGUCAAGUUCGUGUGCGCUUACUCCAGCGCGGGGCAGGCACCGCCGCGCGCCAAACGCCAGGAAGCAGGUGCAAGACAUCGCGAUCUUCUCUUCUUUUCAGGGCUUUGGGGACAGACUACUGAGCUUUCCCAGUGGGGCAUAAGAAACAAGAAAGCAAGGCAAGCCACGGUGGUAUGCAUUCCGGAAUAUCUGGGAUAAUUGAAAUGUAAAAAGAAAAUCAUUUAAUAGGACGCGUGCAUCAAUAUUUCAUCUACUGCUCCUCCUGCCCUCCCCCAAAGUCCUCGAAACUACUCACCUUCUCAGAAAGGAGGGGAGCGCUGCAGGGAAUGUCCUCACCGGAACAAACAGCCCGGUAUAUGGCCCCCGUGCUGUACCAGCCAGCGGUAAUCAAUAGUAGAAAUGGAAAUAAGGAUAGGACCUCUUUCGGAGGAGAGGGAAGGGUAGGAUUCUUAACUGUCAUAUGAGGAAGCAAAGGUGUAGAACUGAUCAACCUAGAAUUAGCCCUGCAGGCAUUUUGAUUAAUUAACUGCCAGAAGAGCAGAAUUAUUAAUGUAGGUCAUGUCUGGUAGAAUAAAAAACAGAGACUUGUAGCACAGGACUGGGGAGGGAUGGAAUCCUUCUGACAACUUGUGGAUGUCGCAAACCCAUCUGUAAUGUUCGAAUUUUUAUAGCAUGUGCAUCAUUUAAGAAAUUGUAAAGCAUUUUAACGAAUACAUAAAAAUACACAUUUUCCCUA
This is a long non-coding RNA of Oryctolagus cuniculus (rabbit), 1448 nucleotides long. RefSeq lists it as uncharacterized. Lineage: Eukaryota; Metazoa; Chordata; Mammalia; Lagomorpha; Leporidae. The record is from RefSeq and is a predicted model, not a curated record.